This is a non-coding RNA of Equus caballus (horse), 2326 nucleotides long. NCBI's taxonomy places the organism in Eukaryota, Metazoa, Chordata, Mammalia, Perissodactyla, Equidae. The record is from RefSeq and is a predicted model, not a curated record.
CCGGCGCCGCCGCCGCCGCCAGGAAGGCCGAGUUGAGGCGCGUCUCGAGCUCGCCGUCGGCCGCCGCCGCCUCCAUGUGCGAGUAGAGGAUGUGCUGCAGCUGCGUGUACUCGAUCUCCGUCAUCUCCACCAGGCUCAGUCAGGAUUCAUGGACCUGGGAAUCAAGAUGUGGAAAUGGAUGCAGCUCCUCUCACUGUCACCUCUACUGGCCACUUGCAAAAUCGGUGCUUCCUGCUCCUGAAACUUUUUCUUCUAGAGGGUCCAGUCCCAAGGGCAAGAGUGCUUCCUCCAGAGGACGCGGGAUGACUUCCAUAGGCUGUCAGCCGAGGCUGUUGCCUGGCCACUCUGGACUCCUCAUGCCACUGCACCCUGAGUGACCCGAAACAGAAGAGAGAGAAUGAAGAAACAAGUCGUGCCCACGGCACCAGCAGUCUGGACUCCAUUUGCUACACAUCUUGUUGUGGCUGUGAUUUGAAACCAACGUCCACACCGUCAAGAAGAAAGGAGACAGCCUCACGGGGCCAAAUGCAGGCUGGUGGGAAGGCGCCAACAGCCAGGCCCCAUGCCCCUCCCCUACCUAGAACCCCAGAUAGAAACCCCUGCCUUUUUCCCUUUGAGGAGGCAGAUCUGAGUUCUGACUCCCAUCUCCUCGUCUGGCUGCCUUUUGAUAAUAAACCUCUUUCCUUGUCUCAAGAUCGACAUUUCAGUGAUUGGCCCCACUGUGUGUCGGGUAAACAAACUUGCAUUUCUGUUUGGUAACAACAGAGGUGUCCGAAGAUUGGCCGUCUACGUAGUGGAGAAAGACAGAAACAAAGGGCAGAGGAGAAUCUGAGAUCUAGGCUGGAGGGUCUGUGGGUCAUCUGCCAUGUUUCUCUCCCCUCCCUCCACCUCUCCCCCUUCUCUUUGUUUUUUUUAAACAAAAAGAAAAUAUUCAUUUAUUACUUAGGUAAUUACAAAUAUGUGUAAUUGCUAACUGUGGCUUUUCUGAAAAUACAGAUGAGCCUGUCAUUGCAGAAUGAAAGAACUUGCUGUGUUCCAGAAGAAAGCGUGAUCGACGUGUUCACCUUCCAGAGCUGAACUUGUUUCCUUCUGUUCCUGAUUGGGAAAUGCCCCUGCAGCCACAGCCGAGAUGCCUGAAGUGCAGGGACUGGAGUCACAGCCGAGUGGCAGCCCCCGCUGGGUGCUGCGGCUCUCGCACCCUGAGAGGCGAGCCAGCUGCUGGGAGCCAGGCUGUGUCCUCAAGCUGGUCUCCUUACCAGGCAGGUCUGUAGAGAGCCGAGCACAGCACGGUGCUCCCUAUAUGGUGGAUAACAUUGACUAAAUGGGGUCACGGGUGGAGUUGUCAGCCUUGGUUCUGGAAGAAAGCCGGGGGUGACAGGGGCGAUAGGGGUGAUGGGGGUGGGGCAGGAUGAGGACAGAGCUGCCUGGUGCUGCAGGAGGGUUUCGUGAAGCAUGGAAAGAACAGACUUCAGGGUGAAUGCGAAUGAAACUAGACACUCGCAGAGCACAUGGAGGCCGGAGGGUUUUCAAUGGGGGCAUACUUCGCCUAUGUUUUGCAGAAACUGCUCUGACAGCAGUCUGCAGGCAAGAAGGGCUCACGCACUUUGGAGCCAGGUGCCAUGCCCAGUGCUCCUUAGCAUACGUCCUGCCAAACUUGGGGUUUACUGUCUGGUGGACCCUCAGCUACCAGGAGCUCUCUGUAGAGCGGCUUCCACAAGGUCAGGGCUAGCCCUUGGGGUUACCCACACACAAACAGGCGGCCCGCUUCUGUGGGCCUUUGUGGGUCAUGUGCAUGCUCAGCUGGCGCGUUUCUGAGAUGACAGUAGUCUGCAUAGGGCGGCCCCACCCUGGGGUCCCCUUGUGGAUCCCUGCUUUGUUGCACUUGGGUUCAGGAGCUCUUCCCUGGUUUGCUGUACACUCGGCCGGAAACCAGUCAGUUCGUGUUGAACUGACCCAACAAGAGUCAAGCCUGUCCUGCCCGAGGAGCGUUUUCUCUGUGUUUCUGCUCAUAGUGGAGUCGUGAAAGCACGUGCUUGUUGAGAAGCUAAAUUCCAGCACGAGGUUCCCCAGGUUGAGGUCAGUCACACAUAGCCACUGACAAGCUGGAGUUCAGGGGCAAGGCUCACCCUGUCUUCUCAAGUGGCCAGGCAUAGGUCCGGGAGAAGCUGCUCCCCUCAACCCAAAAGCUCUGUGUCUGCCCGCUGGCUUGGCCACCGCCAACCCCCACCCUCGGCACCCAUGCCACCAACCCCACCUUACCACAUGCUCCCUAACCAGCCUGCUGGGCAGCCAGAUGCUCCUUUAAACGAGUCAGCAGCUGGAACUU